UACGUAGGGUCCGAGCGUUGUCCGGAAUUAUUGGGCGUAAAGGGCUCGUAGGCGGUUUGUCACGUCGGGCGUGAAAACUCAGGGCUCAACCCUGAGCGUGCGUUCGAUACGGGCAGACUAGAGGUAUGCAGGGGAGAACGGAAUUCCUGGUGUAGCGGUGGAAUGCGCAGAUAUCAGGAGGAACACCGGUGGCGAAGGCGGUUCUCUGGGCAUUACCUGACGCUGAGGAGCGAAAGCGUGGGUAGCGAACAGG
Molecule: ribosomal RNA, 253 nt
Filed under: uncultured bacterium
Lineage: Bacteria
Description: partial 16S ribosomal RNA
Rfam family: Bacterial small subunit ribosomal RNA
Source: RNAcentral